Macaca fascicularis (crab-eating macaque) is the source of this 2426-nucleotide long non-coding RNA. The record is from Ensembl. NCBI's taxonomy places the organism in Eukaryota, Metazoa, Chordata, Mammalia, Primates, Cercopithecidae.
UAGGAAUGUAGUGAAUUACAGUGUUUGCUUAUCCUUGCAGAGUGGAGAAUGUUUUUUGCCAGAGCAAUUGUUUGCAAGAGCGGCCAGCCCAGAGGACUACAGAAGGACAUUCAGGCAGAACAUUCACCUCUCCCUAGAAGACAGCCUAUGAAAGAGAACUAAGUGUGUUCAAUGGACAGUUUCUGCCCUUCAAGUGGCAUUAUUGAAGUAUAAUGACCCCAAAGCCCUUGAGACUAUUGUGUUCUGAUGGGACUGUUGUACUGGGUGCCACAGGAUGAGAUCAUAGGCCUGGAGUGAGGGCCGGGUUUCCUGGGGGAAUAGAUGUCCCAUCAUUGGUCACCAGGGAGGAGCAGGUGUUCGGUAGGAAAUAAGUGCAGGGAGGCAGCUUGAGAAUCCCUUCCCCUUUCUGGGUCUUGGGAGGGGUGGGGCUGGGAUUCCAGGCAGAGUAGACCUGAUUUGAGGGCACUUGGACUGCGUGCAGUUGUGCUGGCUCACGCCACAUGACAGGAUAGAAGCCCUGUAGGAAGACAGUGCAGCUUUGUCCAACAGAGCGCGGCCAAGCUGUGCACCCUGCUGGGGGCUGCCCUUGCUGGGAGAAAGGCAUGUCUUUUUCUCGACACAAAGGUACCACCUACUAACUAAACCCUUACCUGACAAGGACCUGCCCACCAACUGGGAUCGCUGUCUUCUAAGGUAUCUGCCUGCCUUGUGGGUGGGGAGAGGGGACCCAUUUUUCUGUUUUUUUUCAGCCCAGAGAAGCUUUUUCUGCCCACAAAGACAUAUUCUGCACGCCAAGCCAUCAGACUGCUUAAGGAACCUGAGCUCCACAGAACUCAAUGAAAAAGCAACUAUAACAGAAGAGAUACGUAUAUUUCCCCAAAACCGAAAGCCAUUUUCAUCUCUAGUUUUCUGGAUGCCUCAGAUCCCAGAUGUGGCCAAGAAAAUUGCUACAUAAAUUGGACACUGCCCAAAGAAGCCUUAACGCCAUUCCUGGGUUCUUUGUCAAAACCAUGGUGGCUUUUCUUGUCUUCACAGAGCUGAGCCCAUUGUUCUGUGGUCCCUGCAGCUGUGCCUCUGACCUGGGUGGAGCUGCAAGUCUGGGCAGGAGAGGCUUGGGAAGCUAGAGUUGUUGCUGAUGAUCUGUUUUCAGCUUGGGGCAGGAGCCAGGCUGGGUGCCAGAAGCAACUUUUGAUCAGUCAUUAGGCACAGACUUUGCUCCAGCCACACAGCCACCUCAUUCCUGCCUUGGGGCCUUCGCAUUCGCUGUUGGCUCUGCUUGGAGUCUUCUCUCUUGAUCUGCCCCAGACUUGUUGCUCCCUACUUCAUCAGAUGUUACCUUCUCAGAAGGACCUUCCAUGUCCACCUCCAGUGCAGGCCCUGUUCACACUCUGUCCACUGCUCUGCUGAUUUCUUUAUGACAGUUACGGCACUCUACAAGGAUCUUGUUUAUUUGUUUACAUGGCCACUGUCUCUUUCCUUACUGGAACGUCUGGAACAUUAGUUCCACCAGGGUCAUCUGAGGGCUCCCAAGGUGACCCACACAGACCAGACCCCAGCCUGCACCCCAGGAGGCUCCUGCUCCCCACAUACACAGAGCUCACCUCAGCCUUACCUCAUAGAUGAGGAAGACUUUGGCGCCCACAUAAAUGCCCAUGUGUGUCACGACCCAGACAGCGGUGUUCAUGCCUGCGAGAGGUCAGGGCAAGCCCGUCAGUCCCAUGCUGAGAUGCGAGGCCCUGGACGCCUCCUCACCUCAGAGGGUGAAGUGGGGAGGCCUGGACACCCUCUCCAUCUCAAAGCGCAGCGGGUGAGGGGAGGGCCUGGCAGGCGAAGGAUCUUGUGUCUCUUGUUCACUACUGUCCACAACCUCCAGCACAAUGCUGGGUAUAUAAUAGAUAAUAUCUGUUGAAUGAAUAAAUGCACACAGCAGCAAGCUGUGUGGCUGCUUAUCCAACAUAACUGUAUCCCCGUGCUUCUCCCUUCCUAACAUAACUCCAGUCUGCUUGGCAACAUGUCCUAUUCAUGACCACGUGUUUGCCCUAAGCUGUUCAUAGCAUUCUCUUUCCCUGUGCUAAUAACUGGUUUUUCAAAAGGACCCAUGACUUAGUUCUGACCAAAACCAUGAGCAGAAGUCUACUAGGUAGGGCCGGGGGUUCUAAAAGAGGCUUUCCCCUUUAUAAAAAGAGAAGCAGCCACUGUCAUAUUAUCUGGAUUGGAUCUGCUUAGUACAGCUGUGCCUUACUUCUCGCUCUGAGGAGAGUUACCGUGAAGAAAAAUGCAACCCGAUGAAGAUAGCUAGGGUGGGAGUUGGAAGAAACUGGGUCUUCUAUGACAUUACUGAAGAAAUAAAUUAACCAUCUCUGGAGCUUGCAUAUCUCUGGAUCUCUUGCUAUGGGGCAUAAUAAAUUUUCCUAUUAUUAAGCCAU